Molecule: ribosomal RNA, 446 nt
Filed under: uncultured bacterium
Lineage: Bacteria
Description: bacterial SSU rRNA
Rfam family: Bacterial small subunit ribosomal RNA
Source: RNAcentral
AACGCGAAGAACCUUACCAGCUUUUGACAUGCCCUGGACGGAAGACAGAGAUGUCUUCUUCUCUUCGGAGCAAUCCGACUUCCAGACAGGUGCUGCAUGGCUGUCGUCAGCUCGUGCCGUGAGGUGUUGGGUUAAGUCCCGCAACGAGCGCAACCCUCGUCGUGUGUUGGUCCGCAAGGAUCUCUCACGCGAGACCGCCGGUGAGAAGCCGGAGGAAGGUGGGGAUGACGUCAAGUCAGCAUGGCCCUUACGUCCCGGGCUACACACGUGCUACAAUGGGUAGGACAACGAGUCGCUAGCUAGUGAUAGUCUGCUAAUCUCUUAAACCUACCCUCAGUUCGGAUUGAAGGCUGCAACUCGCCUUCAUGAAGUCGGAAUCGCUAGUAAACGCAGAUCAGCUACGCUGCGUUGAAUACGUUCCCGGGCCUUGUACACACCGACUGUAC